RNAcentral lists this ribosomal RNA (327 nucleotides) under uncultured Acidobacteriota bacterium. Its description in RNAcentral is "bacterial SSU rRNA". It matches the Rfam family "Bacterial small subunit ribosomal RNA", at positions 32 to 351 of the family's 1533-position model. Lineage: Bacteria; Pseudomonadati; Acidobacteriota. The record is from RNAcentral.
AAUCAACGCUGGCGGCGUGCCUAACACAUGCAAGUCGAACGAGAAAGCGGGGGCAACCCCGCGAGUAAAGUGGCAGACGGGUGAGUAACACGUGAACAAUCUACCCUCGAGUGAGGAAUAACCUCGCGAAAGCGGGGCUAAUACCGCAUAACAUCCCUGGGUCGCAUGAUUCGGGGAUCAAAGGCUUCGGUCGCUUGAGGAGGAGUUCGCGCCUGAUUAGCUAGUUGGUGAGGUAACGGCCCACCAAGGCAACGAUCAGUAGCCGGCCUGAGAGGGCGCACGGCCACACUGGAACUGAGACACGGUCCAGACUCCUACGGGAGGCUG